AUUGAACGCUGGCGGCAGGCCUAACACAUGCAAGUCGAGCGGAUGAAGGGAGCUUGCUCCUGGAUUCAGCGGCGGACGGGUGAGUAAUGCCUAGGAAUCUGCCUGGUAGUGGGGGAUAACGUCCGGAAACGGGCGCUAAUACCGCAUACGUCCUGAGUGAGAAAGUGGGGGAUCUUCGGACCUCACGCUAUCAGAUGAGCCUAGGUCGGAUUAGCUAGUUGGUGGGGUAAAGGCCUACCAAGGCGACGAUCCGUAACUGGUCUGAGAGGAUGAUCAGUCACACUGGAACUGAGACACGGUCCAGACUCCUACGGGAAGCAGCAGUGGGGAAUAUUGGACAAUGGGCGAAAGCCUGAUCCAGCCAUGCCGCGUGUGUGAAGAAGGUCUUCGGAUUUUAAAGCAAUUUAAGUUGGGAGGAAGGGCAGUAAGUUAAUACCUUGCUGUUUUGACGUUACCAACAGAAUAAGCACCGGCUAACUUCGUG
This 484-nucleotide ribosomal RNA is filed under the name uncultured bacterium. RNAcentral's name for it is "partial 16S ribosomal RNA". It matches the Rfam family "Bacterial small subunit ribosomal RNA", at positions 30 to 507 of the family's 1533-position model. The record is from RNAcentral.